GGUUGUUUAGAUGAUAAAGUAUACUUAAAAAAAAUAAGCAAUGGAUACUGUCAUACAUAAUGAUAAUGUAUCAUAACAAAAUUCAUUUUAUUCCAGUAAUGCAAAGUUGAUAUGAAAUUUGAAAAUCAAUUACUAUAUUUUAUCAUAUUAAUAGGAUAAAAGAGUAAGACCAUACAAUUAUCUCAACAGAGGAAGAAAAAGGAUUUGAUGAAAUUGUGUACCCAUGCAUGACAACAUUCUCAACUGACAAGAAAUAAAAGCAAUCAUUACUAUUCCGAUAAACCAUUUCUUUAAAAAGAAUCACAGUUAAUGGCGAACUAUUGAAAAAUUAUCUGUGCAGAUUGUGAGUGAGACAGAGAUGUCCAUGGUCAUCGCUUUUAGUUGGCAUUGUACGGAAGUAGUAGACAAUACAAUAAAGCAAGAAAAAGAAAUGAAAAUAUAAGAAUUGAAAAUGUGUAACGACAUUAUCACUACUAGCAGACAGUAU
Molecule: long non-coding RNA, 487 nt
Filed under: Homo sapiens (human)
Lineage: Eukaryota; Metazoa; Chordata; Mammalia; Primates; Hominidae
Description: non-protein coding lnc-MAP1LC3C-6:1
Source: RNAcentral